This 679-nucleotide ribosomal RNA is filed under the name Microidium phyllanthi-reticulati. RNAcentral describes it as "eukaryotic LSU rRNA". It matches the Rfam family "Eukaryotic large subunit ribosomal RNA", at positions 82 to 771 of the family's 3401-position model. Lineage: Eukaryota; Fungi; Ascomycota; Leotiomycetes; Helotiales; Erysiphaceae. The record is from RNAcentral.
AGUAACGGCGAGUGAAGCGGUAACAGCUCAAAUUUGAAAUCUGGCUUCCUCGGAGCCCGAGUUGUAAUUUGUAGAAGACGCUUUGGGUUGUGGGCUUGGCCUAAGUUCCUUGGAACAGGACGUCAUAGAGGGUGAGAAUCCCGUCUGCGGCCGAGACCCUACACCUAUAUGUAAAGCUCUUUCAACGAGUCGAGUUGUUUGGGAAUGCAGCUCAAAAUGGGUGGUAAAUUUCAUCUAAAGCUAAAUAUGGGCCAGAGACCGAUAGCGCACAAGUAGAGUGAUCGAAAGAUGAAAAGCACUUUGGAAAGAGAGUUAAAUAGUACGUGAAAUUGUUGAAAGGGAAGCGCUUGCACCCAGACUUGGGCAUCGUUGAUCAUCCGAGGCUUUGCCUCGGUGCACUCAACAAUGCACAGGCCAGCAUCGGUUUGACUGGCUGGAAAAAGGCCCUAGGAAUGUAGCUCCUUUCGGGGAGUGUUAUAGCCUAGGGCGUCAUGCAGCCCAGUUAGACCGAGGACCGCGCCUUCGGGCUAGGAUGCUGGCGUAAUGGGUGUAAGCGACCCGUCUUGAAACACGGACCAAGGAGUCUAACAUCUAUGCGAGUGUUUGGGCGUCAAACCCAUACGCGGAAUGAAAGUGAACGUAGGUGAGAACCCGUUUAGGGUGCAUCAUCGACCGAUCC